CCUACGGGGCGCUGCAGUGGGGAAUAUUGGACAAUGGGCGAAAGCCUGAUCCAGCCAUGCCGCGUGUGUGAAGAAGGCCUUCGGGUUGUAAAGCACUUUCAGUGGGGAAGAAAGCCUUGGGGCUAAUACCCUCGAGGAAGGACAUCACCCACAGAAGAAGCACCGGCUAACUCCGUGCCAGCAGCCGCGGUAAUACGGAGGGUGCAAGCGUUAAUCGGAAUUACUGGGCGUAAAGCGCGCGUAGGCGGUCUGAUAAGCCGGUUGUGAAAGCCCCGGGCUCAACCUGGGAACGGCAUCCGGAACUGUCAGGCUAGAGUGCAGGAGAGGAAGGUAGAAUUCCCGGUGUAGCGGUGAAAUGCGUAGAGAUCGGGAGGAAUACCAGUGGCGAAGGCGGCCUUCUGGACUGACACUGACGCUGAGGUGCGAAAGCGUGGGUAGCAAACAGGAUUAGAUACCCGGGUAGUC
This 465-nucleotide ribosomal RNA is filed under the name Vreelandella stevensii. Its description in RNAcentral is "partial 16S ribosomal RNA". It matches the Rfam family "Bacterial small subunit ribosomal RNA", at positions 338 to 795 of the family's 1533-position model. Lineage: Bacteria; Pseudomonadati; Pseudomonadota; Gammaproteobacteria; Oceanospirillales; Halomonadaceae. The record is from RNAcentral.